GGCGGACGGGUGAGUAACGCGUGAGAAUCUGGCUUCAGGUCUGGGACAACCACCGGAAACGGUGGCUAAUACCGGAUGUGCCGAAAGGUGAAAGGUUAACUGCCUGAAGAUGAGCUCGCGUCUGAUUAGCUAGUUGGAAGUGUAAUGGACUCCCAAGGCGACGAUCAGUAGCUGGUCUGAGAGGACGAUCAGCCACACUGGGACUGAGACACGGCCCAGACUCCUACGGGAGGCAGCAGUGGGGAAUUUUCCGCAAUGGGCGAAAGCCUGACGGAGCAAUACCGCGUGAGGGAGGAAGGCUCUUGGGUCGUAAACCUCUUUUCUCAGGGAAGAACACAAUGACGGUACCUGAGGAAUAAGCAUCGGCUAACUCCGUGCCAGCAGCCGCGGUAAUACGGAGGAUGCAAGCGUUAUCCGGAAUGAUUGGGCGUAAAGCGUCCGCAGGUGGCUGUGUAAGUCUGCUGUUAAAGAGUCUAGCUCAACUAGAUAAGAGCAGUGGAAACUACACGGCUAGAGUACGUUCGGGGCAGAGGGAAUUCCUGGUGUAGCGGUGAAAUGCGUAGAGAUCAGGAAGAACACCAGUGGCGAAGGCGCUCUGCUAGGCCGUAACUGACACUGAGGGACGAAAGCUAGGGGAGCGAAUGGGAUUAGAUACCCCAGUAGUCCUAGCCGUAAACGAUGGAUACUAGGCGUGGCUUGUAUCGACCCGAGCCGUGCCGUAGCUAACGCGUUAAGUAUCCCGCCUGGGGAGUACGCCGGCAACGGUGAAACUCAAAGGAAUUGACGG
This 787-nucleotide ribosomal RNA is filed under the name uncultured bacterium. RNAcentral describes it as "bacterial SSU rRNA". It matches the Rfam family "Bacterial small subunit ribosomal RNA", at positions 97 to 916 of the family's 1533-position model. The record is from RNAcentral.